This 343-nucleotide unclassified non-coding RNA is filed under the name soil metagenome. RNAcentral describes it as "partial contains 5.8S ribosomal RNA, internal transcribed spacer 2, and large subunit ribosomal RNA". The stretch from base 1 to 120 matches the Rfam family "5.8S ribosomal RNA", at positions 35 to 154 of the family's 154-position model. The record is from RNAcentral.
GAUGAAGAACGCAGCGAAAUGCGAUAAGUAAUGUGAAUUGCAGAAUCCAGUGAAUCAUCGAAUCUUUGAACGCACAUUGCGCCCGCCAGCAUUCUGGCGGGCAUGCCUGUUCGAGCGUCAUUUCAACCCUCGACCUCCAUUUGGGGAAGUCGGCGUUGGGGACCGGCAGCACACCGCCGGCCCUGAAAUGGAGUGGCGGCCCGUCCGCGGCGACCUCUGCGUAGUAAACCAACUCGCACCGGAACCCCGACGUGGCCACGCCGUAAAACACCCAACUUCUGAACGUUGACCUCGAAUCAGGUAGGACUACCCGCUGAACUUAAGCAUAUCAAUAAGCGGAGGA